GCUUACGGCCAUACCAGCCUGGGUACGCCCGAUCUCGUCUGAUCUCGGAAGCUAAGCAGGGUCCGGCCUGGUUAGUACUUGGAUGGGAGACCGCCUGGGAAUACCAGGUGCUGUAAGCA
RNAcentral lists this ribosomal RNA (119 nucleotides) under Salmo salar (Atlantic salmon). The record is from RNAcentral. Lineage: Eukaryota; Metazoa; Chordata; Actinopteri; Salmoniformes; Salmonidae.